GAGCCGCCGUCGCACGGAGAGUGCCGGCCACCCUUCCUCUGCCCUCGAGGCCGAGCCACAUUGUCGAGUUCUCUUUUCCCUUCGUGCCGUCUGCUCUAGUCGCCUUGCACCGUCACCACAGCCGAACCACUUCACCGGCCACCAGGAUUUUGUGCUGUGGAGUGUCUGAUUUCCAGGUGCUAAUCCUCUCCGGCAGUAAAUUGCCUUGGCUGUGAUUGAAGGUUAUUGCUUGGAUUCCAGCAACUACCUCUGUUCCGGCAGCAACGUUACCGGUUGAGGCUUCAGAAUUAGGGUUUUGACACGAGACGAGCAUCUCGACGUCCGAGUUGGACCGGACUGAUCUUAUUUUCCU
Molecule: long non-coding RNA, 352 nt
Organism: Zingiber officinale
Lineage: Eukaryota; Viridiplantae; Streptophyta; Magnoliopsida; Zingiberales; Zingiberaceae
Exons: 4
Source: RefSeq, a predicted model, not a curated record